This 428-nucleotide ribosomal RNA is filed under the name uncultured bacterium. RNAcentral's name for it is "bacterial SSU rRNA". It matches the Rfam family "Bacterial small subunit ribosomal RNA", at positions 354 to 796 of the family's 1533-position model. The record is from RNAcentral.
GUGGGGAAUUUUCCACAAUGGGCGAAAGCCUGAUGGAGCAAUACCGCGUGAGGGAUGAAGGAUCGUGGUCCGUAAACCUCUUUUCUUAACGAAGAAGUUCUGACGGUAGUUAAGGAAUAAGCACCGGCUAACUCCGUGCCAGCAGCCGCGGUAAUACGGGGGGUGCAAGCGUUGUCCGGAAUGAUUGGGCGUAAAGCAUCUGUAGGUGGUUCUUAAAGUCGACUGUUAAAGCCCAGGGCUCAACUUUGGAAAAGCGGUCGAGUACUUAAGGACUUGAGUUUGGUAGGGGUAGAGGGAAUUCCUUGUGGAGCGGUGAAAUGCACAGAGAUAAGGAAGAACACCGAUGGCGAAAGCACUCUACUGGGCCAAGACUGACACUGAGAGAUGAAAGUCGGGGGAGCGAAAAGGAUUAGAUACCCUGGUAGUCC